AGCGUGAAGAUAAGACAUUAACUGCAGAAGAAGCCCCGGCUAACUUCGUGCCAGCAGCCGCGGUAAUACGAAGGGGGCUAGCGUUGUUCGGAAUCACUGGGCGUAAAGAGUACGUAGGCGGACUGAUAAGUUAGGGGUGAAAUCCCAAGGCUCAACCUUGGAACUGCCUUUGAUACUGUCAGUCUUGAGAUCGAGAGAGGUGAGUGGAACUCCGAGUGUAGAGGUGAAAUUCGUAGAUAUUCGGAAGAACACCAGUGGCGAAGGCGGCUCACUGGCUCGAUACUGACGCUGAGGUACGAAAGCGUGGGGAGCAAACAGGAUUAAUACCCUGGUAGUCCACGCCGUAAACGAUGAAUGCUUUUCAGGUAGCUUGCUAUUUGGUGACGCAGCUAACGCAUAAGCAUCCGCCUGGG
Molecule: ribosomal RNA, 413 nt
Filed under: Pseudovibrio sp. 1WS1 1
Lineage: Bacteria; Pseudomonadati; Pseudomonadota; Alphaproteobacteria; Hyphomicrobiales; Stappiaceae
Description: bacterial SSU rRNA
Rfam family: Bacterial small subunit ribosomal RNA
Source: RNAcentral